This 259-nucleotide ribosomal RNA is filed under the name uncultured bacterium. RNAcentral describes it as "partial 16S ribosomal RNA". It matches the Rfam family "Bacterial small subunit ribosomal RNA", at positions 28 to 279 of the family's 1533-position model. The record is from RNAcentral.
GACGAACGCUGGCGGCGUGCUUAACACAUGCAAGUCGAGCGGUAAGGCCCUUUCGGGGUACGACGAGCGGCGAACGGGUAGGAGUAACAACGUGGGUGGACCUGCCCUUACGUCUCUGGGAGUAAGACCUGGGAAACGUGGGUCUAAUACCGGAUAUGACUCCAUGACGCAUGUUGUGGGGUGGAAAGCCUUGUGCGGCUAGGGAUGGGCCCGCGGCCUAUCAGCUUGUUGGUGGGGUGAUGGCCUACCAAGGCGACGA